Molecule: non-coding RNA, 150 nt
Filed under: uncultured Blautia sp.
Lineage: Bacteria; Bacillati; Bacillota; Clostridia; Lachnospirales; Lachnospiraceae
Source: RNAcentral
AAAGGUUCCGCAAGGAUGAAAAGGGAAGAAAGUGAGAAGCUUUCACGGUCCCGCCGCUGUAUGGGAAGAGCUGUAUCUUCAUAUGUCACUGGGAAACCGGGAAGACAGAGCACAGCAGAGACGCCCGAGUCAGAAGACCUGCCUUUGUAU